RNAcentral lists this ribosomal RNA (494 nucleotides) under uncultured bacterium. RNAcentral's name for it is "partial 16S ribosomal RNA". It matches the Rfam family "Bacterial small subunit ribosomal RNA", at positions 28 to 507 of the family's 1533-position model. The record is from RNAcentral.
GACGAACGCUGGCGGCGUGCUUAACACAUGCAAGUCGAACGGUGAAGCGCCUUCCUUUUUGGUGGGUGUUGAGGAGUGGCGAACGGGUGAGUACCACGAUAGUAACCUGCCCCCUUCUUCUGGAUAACCGCAUGAAAGUGUGGCUAAUACGGGAUAUUCUGGGUCUGUUGCAUGAUGGGUCUGGGACGGAUAUGGUUUCGGUGGGGGAUGGGCUCGCGGCCUAUCAGCUAGUUGGUGGGGUGAGGGCCUACCAAGGCGGUGAAGAGUAGCCGGCCUGAGAGGGUCGACGGUACCACUAGGGCUACGACGCGGAGAAGACUCCGACGGGAGGCAGCAGUGGGGAAUAUGGCACAGGGGGCGGCAGGCUGAUGCAACGACGCCGGGGGGGGGAUGGAGGCCGUCGGGUAGUGAACUGCUAUCGCCAGUGAAGAAGGCCGGCCUCGAUUGUGGGUGGGUUGACGGUAGCUGGAUAAGAAGCGCCGGCUAACUACGUG